CAAAUACUUAGCCUAAAAAAAAGAUAAAUAAACAGGAAAUACCAGCCACUCUCAUUGCUGGGUUGGUGGUUGGUUGAAUUCCCCAUUCCAAUGUCACAUGAUAUCAUCCCACCAUGUUACAUGAUUGUGAUAGGUGAACUUAGGUCCUGGCACCAAGUCCACCUCUGUCCAACAGGUAUGAGAAUGUCACCUGCUCUGGAAGAGCAAGCAAUACCAAGCCACUGAAUAGCAGUGUGGUGAUUGCAGUUGCCUAAACUUUCUAAGGAAGUGGGACAAAAAGAUUUGGCCAAAGAUGAAAAUAUUUUCAAGAAUAGAAUAUCUUUCUUUUUGUUUUCAGUACUGGGGAUGAAACCCAGGCCUCACACAUGCUAGGCAAACAUUCUACCACUGAGCUGUACCCCUAGUCCAAGAAUAGGAUGUCUUUCUUCAUGCUUAUGCCCCAAAGAAGAGAUGAAGCUCAUCAGGCAGCCCCAGGAACAGGAAAUGGAAGGGGCAUUCUUAACGAGGCAAAGCUCAUUUCCCAGAGGGGAGGAAGUAGUCUGGACUGGAUCCUUCUGCAAGAGUGAAAAGUUUCUAGCUGCACAUAAUCCUUCCGUCCACCCACCAGAAGAUGGGAAGACAACAGCCCUGAGUCAAAACGAUUUUCCACCUCCCUGGCCAUGAAUCAGCUCCUGGUAGACGACACCAUUUUGAGACUGACUUUGGCAUUAUCUCACGAUAUUUACUUCUGCACGCCUUCCUGCUUAGGGAACAGCUCCUUCAAGCAGCCUUGAGCUUAGCAUUCAGGGAAGGGGGCAAAGGUGUUCUGAGCCAAUGAUCGAUCCUCUCAGGAAAAUGACGUGAAGGGGCCUGCUCUACUGCCACUGUCAACCCUGGAUUCAGGGCUUGCUCUUUGGUAAGGGGUUUUGCAUGCAUCUGGUUUCCUGGAGGCAGCCCUUAGAAACACAUAGAUUAUUACUGGUGACAGUGGCACAUUACAUGUCACAUUGAUAUCGUAGUCUGCUCCAGUGCAGGGUGAGCUGGACCCUUAUCUGAGGCUUCUAGGCUAAGUGCAAUGGGAUAUUUCAAGAAAGGAGGAAGAAGGAAUAGACACAGAAUUGAAAGUUAGGUAAAAAUAGGUGGAGGCUGAAGUUGUCCCCAGGUGCUCCCGGAGAAUAAGGGUUAAUAAAACAUUUAAAGCCGGACAUGAUAGCUCACAACUAGUCCCAGCACUCAGGAAGUUGAGGCAGGAGAAUCAGGAGUUCCAUACCAGCCUGGGCAACAUAGCAAGAUCC
This 1274-nucleotide long non-coding RNA is filed under the name Marmota monax (woodchuck). The record is from RNAcentral. Lineage: Eukaryota; Metazoa; Chordata; Mammalia; Rodentia; Sciuridae.